UGAUGGGAGCUUGCUCCCUGAUAUCAGCGGCGGACGGGUGAGUAACACGUGGGUAACCUGCCUGUAAGACUGGGAUAACUCCGGGAAACCGGGGCUAAUACCGGAUAACUCAUUUCCUCGCAUGAGGAAAUGUUGAAAGAUGGCUUUUUGCUAUCACUUACAGAUGGACCCGCGGCGCAUUAGCUAGUUGGUGAGGUAACGGCUCACCAAGGCAACGAUGCGUAGCCGACCUGAGAGGGUGAUCGGCCACACUGGGACUGAGACACGGCCCAGACUCCUACGGGAGGCAGCAGUAGGGAAUCUUCCGCAAUGGACGAAAGUCUGACGGAGCAACGCCGCGUGAGUGAUGAAGGUUUUCGGAUCGUAAAGCUCUGUUGUUAGGGAAGAACAAGUGCCGUUCGAAUAGGGCGGCACCUUGACGGUACCUAACCAGAAAGCCACGGCUAACUACGUGCCAGCAGCCGCGGUAAUACGUAGGUGGCAAGCGUUGUCCGGAAUUAUUGGGCGUAAAGCGCGCGCAGGUGGUUCCUUAAGUCUGAUGUGAAAGCCCACGGCUCAACCGUGGAGGGUCAUUGGAAACUGGGGGACUUGA
RNAcentral lists this ribosomal RNA (592 nucleotides) under Rossellomorea vietnamensis. RNAcentral describes it as "bacterial SSU rRNA". It matches the Rfam family "Bacterial small subunit ribosomal RNA", at positions 70 to 645 of the family's 1533-position model. Lineage: Bacteria; Bacillati; Bacillota; Bacilli; Caryophanales; Bacillaceae. The record is from RNAcentral.